ACAUAUGUGGAUCCUGCCUUACCUCUUUCCAAAAGCAAAGGGUGGUUGUUGAGCUCUCAUGUGAACAAUCUAAUGGACUUGCUCCAGAAGGCUGUGUAAACUCAGCUUUUCCCACUUGUUCCCGCCACAGCCUUGGCUAUUCAUCUCCCCAGGAGGCCGUCGUGACUGAAGUGAGCAGUGGCCUCUUGUUUCCUCCGUGCUGCAGACAGAGCUCUAUCCGUGUAACAUAUGAGCUUUCUAUAGUGGACAUAAUGACUCUGGGACAGAAAAAGAAAUACUUCAAGGAGCCAUGCUGACAAAAGAAGACAGAUAAAAGGCACCUUGCGCCUUUCUGUGGCAGACAGCAUAAGGAUACUUGAAGCUGAAGUGGCGGGUGGAACCUGCUGAGCUGUCUGGUGAGAGCAUCUGAGGUGCAGACCCUUAAAGAUGAUGGGCUUGCCAGGGUUGUGAGCAGGAGAAGAAUUUGACCCCUGGGACGGCUCCUGAUACGUUCAUGGACAAGGUGAGACCUGGGAUACGGAGCCCAUUUCUCCAGCAGAGGCUUUGGGAAAUGAAUCUUUCAGAAAUGACAGGAAGAAUUAGGAGGGUGACUUGGCCCUGGCUCACAUACCGGCUCCUACAAGAAAAUAUCUCGCUCCUGUUCCUAUGCAGAUUAUACCUACCCUUCUGUCAUCAGCAUCCACCAGCCCUCUGACAGAGUGACUUUGACUGCUCUUCUCUGUGUGGCAACUGAUGCACCCCGUGGCCCGCUCAGUCCUUUCUGCUUAAAUGACUUAUGUCCUGGCCUUCAUAAUUCUGUCAAAGAAAAUAUACAGCCUUCAUCUUUGUUAUCUUUCAUUGUGCCUAAAGAGGUCAGAAGUUCACAGCAGUUCGCCUAGAUAGCCUGGCUGAAUGUAAAUGUGGCCAUCAGUUUUGAUGCAAAAAGCCUGUGAGACAAAAUUGACAAUCUUCUUCCCACAAGUUUUGUGUGUGCAAGCAUGAAACUUGCCUUCCACCAGCAUUUGUACUGUCAUACAGCAUUAAUGGAAAGCACAAAUACCUGAGAAUGCAGCCAAAGCCAGUUCGCAGGAGGAGUGGAUGAAUGCUUGCAGGAAAUUCAAUGCUUCUCUCAUCCAUCACUAUUCACAUUGCCUUCCUUGCCUGCAGGUAGAGGCACAGAGACUUAUUGGAUGGGAUUCAUCUUACCUAACUUUAGACAUAUAUAGCACAGAUAUCUCUAUCUCAGCUUGUUGUCUAGACUCUUGUGAAAGUCAAUAGAGAGAAGCAAGCAGUUCCAAGCGCAAUUCAUCUGACCUAUUUUAGACACCUUCUUUAGGAAAAGAUGAAGCUUUCCCUAAAACUGCCUAUUUCUCUCUAGUGACUUCAGGAGAAUUCAGGCCAUUUAUUCAGGUGCAGACAUGUAUUCUGUGCUAGCUACAUGCGGUGAAUUCCACCCCUCUGGCACAUUAGAUAAUAUUUUUCCCACAGUUGAAUGAGCUUAAUGGGGCCUUUUUGGCCCCAAUAAAUUACCCAAUAUUCUCAUGGGCACUUUUUCCCCCCUAAAAGUGAAGCUGGUUACAUAAAGCAGUGGCAGAGCACAAUCCAGAAGCAGUCAACAGGUCAGUGUUGGCAAGUCAGUGUUGGCAGGUUGGCGUUGGCAGGCCAGCUCCUGACAGCCCGGUGAUGCUGCUCCCACCUGGGUGCUCCCAGUCUCCCUUGCUCCCACUCUCUCCCUGCGCCUGCCCACUGCUGCCUGCCUCUCUGAGCAGGACCCCAGGCAUCUGUCAGCCCGUGUGCCUCCUGCUGAGGACUGUGGUGCUUCAGCCCACACACUUCUGCUCAGGCUUCAGAUAAUGGCUUUUGCUGUUCCUGCUAUCGCUAUAUGAGAGCCAUUUAAUUGCAUCUUCCAUUCAGCUUGAAUAAAGGGUGAGUAGGACAU
This is a long non-coding RNA of Gallus gallus (chicken), 1918 nucleotides long. The record is from Ensembl. Lineage: Eukaryota; Metazoa; Chordata; Aves; Galliformes; Phasianidae.